UACGUAGGGGGCAAGCGUUGUCCGGAUUUAUUGGGCGUAAAGAGCGUGUAGGCGGCUAGAUAGGUCCGUUGUGAAAACUCGAGGCUCAACCUCGAGACGCCGGUGGAAACCAUCUAGCUAGAGUCCGGAAGAGGAGAGUGGAAUUCCUGGUGUAGCGGUGAAAUGCGCAGAUAUCAGGAAGAACACCCGUGGCGAAGGCGGCUCUCUGGUACGUGACUGACGCUGAGGCGCGAAAGCGUGGGGAGCAAACAGG
This 253-nucleotide ribosomal RNA is filed under the name uncultured bacterium. RNAcentral's name for it is "partial 16S ribosomal RNA". It matches the Rfam family "Bacterial small subunit ribosomal RNA", at positions 524 to 776 of the family's 1533-position model. The record is from RNAcentral.